GAUGAACGCUAGCUACAGGCUUAACACAUGCAAGUCGAGGGGUAACGAGAGGAAAGCUUGCUUUCCUUGUCGACGACCGGCGCACGGGUGAGUAACGCGUAUCCAACCUGCCCCCAACUAGGGAAUAACCCUGCGAAAGUAAGACUAAUACCCUAUAAUUUCCUCAGAUGACAUCUGACGAGGAAUAAAGAUUUAUCGGUUGUGGAUGGGGAUGUGUCUGAUUAGCUUGUUGGCGGGGUAACGGCCCACCAAGGCAACGAGCAGUAGGGGUUCUGAGAGGAAGGUCCCCCACAUUGGAACUGAGACACGGUCCAAACUCCUACGGGAGGCAGCAGUGAGGAAUAUUGGUCAAUGGGCGGAAGCCUGAACCAGCCAAGUAGCGUGCAGGAUGACGGCCCUAUGGGUUGUAAACUGCUUUUAUACAGGAAUAAAGUUAGCCACGUGUGGUUAUUUGUAGGUACUGUAUGAAUAAGGACCGGCUAAUUCCGUGCCAGCCGCCGCCGUAA
Molecule: ribosomal RNA, 506 nt
Filed under: uncultured bacterium
Lineage: Bacteria
Description: partial 16S ribosomal RNA
Rfam family: Bacterial small subunit ribosomal RNA
Source: RNAcentral